CUAUACAUGCAGUCGAACGGUCAUAGUGAUAUGAUAGUGGCGCACGGGUGCGUAACACGUAUGCAACCUACCUUAUAGACGGGGAUAGCCUUUGGAAACGGAGAUUAAUACCCGAUAGUAUAUAUUGAUGGCAUCAUUAGUAUAUUAAAGAUUUAUUGCUAUAAGCUGGGCAUGCGUCCAAUUAGUUAGUUGGUUAGGUAAUGGCUGACCAAGACGAUGAUUGGUAGGGGAACUGAGAGGUUAAUCCCCCACACUGGCACUGAGAUACGGGCCAGACUCCUACGGGAGGCAGCAGUAGGGAAUAUUGGGCAAUGGAGGCAACUCUGACCCAGCCAUGCCGCGUGCAGGAUGAAGGCGUUAUGCGUUGUAAACUGCUUUUAUAUAGGAAGAAACAGACCUUGCGAGGUAAUUUGACGGUACUAUAUGAAUAAGCACCGGCUAACUCCGUGCCAGCAGCCGCGGUAAUACGGAGGGUGCAAGCGUUGUCCGGAUUUAUUGGGUUUAAAGGGUGCGUAGGCGGUUUAUUAAGUCAGUGGUGAAAGACGGUCGCUCAACGAUUGCAGUGCCAUUGAUACUGGUAGACUUGAGUGAGAUUGAGGUAGCUGGAAUGGAUAGUGUAGCGGUGAAAUGCAUAGAUAUUAUCCAGAACACCAAUUGCGUAGGCAAGUUACUAAGUCUCAACUGACGCUGAGGCACGAAAGUGUGGGUAUCAAACAGGAUUAGAUACCCUGGUAGUCCACACUGUAAACGAUGAUAACUAACUGUUGGCUUUUGGGUCAGUGGUACAGAGAAAUCGUUAAGUUAUCCACCUGGGGAGUACGCCGGCAACGGUGAAACUCAAAUGAAUUGACGG
This 853-nucleotide ribosomal RNA is filed under the name uncultured Bacteroidota bacterium. Its description in RNAcentral is "bacterial SSU rRNA". It matches the Rfam family "Bacterial small subunit ribosomal RNA", at positions 49 to 916 of the family's 1533-position model. Lineage: Bacteria; Pseudomonadati; Bacteroidota. The record is from RNAcentral.